UACGUACCGUACGAACGUUAUUCGGAAUUACUGGGCUUAAAGGGUUUGUAGGCGGCCACGUAAGUCAGGUGUGAAAUCCCUCGGCUCAACCGAGGAACGGCGCUUGAUACUGCGUGGCUUGAGGGAGACAGGGGUAAGCGGAACUGAUGGUGGAGCGGUGAAAUGCGUUGAUAUCAUCAGGAACACCGGUGGCGAAAGCGGCUUACUGGGUCUCUUCUGACGCUGAGGAACGAAAGCUAGGGUAGCGAAC
Molecule: ribosomal RNA, 250 nt
Filed under: uncultured bacterium
Lineage: Bacteria
Description: partial 16S ribosomal RNA
Rfam family: Bacterial small subunit ribosomal RNA
Source: RNAcentral